GUUGAGUGCUUGUCUGAAUAUUUUUUCUAUCAGUAAGAAUCGUUCACACUUUUGAGCGAGCAAAAAUGGCACUCUGGCUAAACAUCAUAUCCUUGUUAGUUUUCCUUGGAGGUGCCCAAUCUGAGGUUCAGUUGGUGGAAACUGGAGGGGAUGUGAGAAGACCUGGAGAAUCCCUCCGUCUCUCCUGCCAAGGAUCUGGAUUCACCUUCAGCAGCUACUGGAUGAGCUGGAUAAGACAGGCUCCAGGGAAAGGAGUGGAAUGGGUGGCAAGGAUACGCAAUGAUGCCGCAUAUACUUACUACCCUGACAAAGUGAAGGGCCGCUUCACCAUCUCCAGGGACAAUGCCAAAAGCCAGCUGUAUCUGCAAAUGAACAGCCUCAAAGCUGAAGACACGGCAGUCUAUUACUGUGUGAGAGACACAGUAGACCUGAGCAAUGAGUUAAAACAAAAGCAGGAUUGUGUGGGAUGGUGA
Non-coding RNA from Crotalus tigris (Tiger rattlesnake), 473 nucleotides. NCBI's taxonomy places the organism in Eukaryota, Metazoa, Chordata, Lepidosauria, Squamata, Viperidae. The record is from the annotation of a RefSeq genome assembly.